This 677-nucleotide long non-coding RNA is filed under the name Ananas comosus (pineapple). RNAcentral's name for it is "long non-coding RNA (ACOM_LNC008023)". The record is from RNAcentral. Lineage: Eukaryota; Viridiplantae; Streptophyta; Magnoliopsida; Poales; Bromeliaceae.
AAAAAAUUAAAAGUUUAGGAAGUUUCUAUACAUUUUUAGCACAAAGAUAUUUUGGCAAAAAAAUUGUGAGGACCCUCUCAACUAUUAAGAUCCUUUGCAAUAGAGGGCUCAAAUUUAAUUUUUAAUUUAUUUUUAUAGGUUUUUAACUUUUUAUAAUUAAUUUUGGUUAAUUAAAUAAAAUAUUUAUUAAAAUUUAUACAAAAUUUGAUCAAAUAUUUUUUACAUAUGUAUUUUUACAUGAUUAGAUUAUAUUUAUUAAAUUAUAUUUUAGUUUAAGUGGUGAACCUUGUUGAAGCUUUUUCUUUUCCUAUUUAUGAAGAGUUGAAGACUAAUAACGAGCUCCCCCCAACAACCUUUUUUUCUUAUAAAUUUUUUAAUAAUUUUUUGCUCAUAUAUUUCUUUAUAAAAUUAUUUAGUUACUUACAAAUUCUUACAAAAAAUUUUAUAGCACAUAAACCAAUUUACAUUAUUUUUAUUCAAAUUAUUUUUAAAUUUAUAUAAUUAAUAAUUAAAAAUUAAAAUAAUAUAAAUAUUUUAAUUAAAAUUUAUUAUUAAAAUAUUUUAUAUUCGUAGUAUCGCGCGGAUAAUUCACUUAUAAAAUAAUGAUUCUCAGAUCAAAUUUAAACAAAAAAAUAAGAAAAAAAGAAAAAAAAAUCUCUGGUAUAAAUUUUGAAUAU